RNAcentral lists this ribosomal RNA (740 nucleotides) under uncultured bacterium. Its description in RNAcentral is "bacterial SSU rRNA". It matches the Rfam family "Bacterial small subunit ribosomal RNA", at positions 8 to 796 of the family's 1533-position model. The record is from RNAcentral.
AGAGUUUGAUCAUGGCUCAGAACGAACGCUGGCGGCAGGCCUAAUACAUGCAAGUCGAACGCCCCGCAAGGGGAGUGGCGCACGGGUGAGUAACGCGUGGGAAUAUGCCCCUGACUGCGGGACAACGUCUGGAAACGGACGCUAAUACCACAUAAUGUCUACGGACCAAAGAUUUAUCGGUCAGGGAUUAGCCCGCGUUGGAUUAGCUAGUUGGUGAGGUAAUGGCUCACCAAGGCUACGAUCCAUAGCUGGUCUGAGAGGAUGAUCAGCCACACUGGGACUGAGACACGGCCCAGACUCCUACGGGAGGCAGCAGUAAGGAAUGUUGGACAAUGGAGGCAACUCUGAUCCAGCCAUGCCGCGUGAGUGAUGAAGGCCUUCGGGUUGUAAAACUCUUUUAGGUGUGAAAAUGAUGAUGGUAACACCAGAAAAAGCUCCGGCUAACUUCGUGCCAGCAGCCGCGGUAAUACGAGGGGAGCGAGCGUUGUUCGGAAUCACUGGGCGUAAAGCGUGCGUAGGCGGUUUUGUAAGUCAGAAGUGAAAGCCUAGGGCUCAACCUUAGAAUUGCUUUUGAGACUGCAAAGCUAGAGUAUUGGAGAGGUCAGUGGAAUUCCGAGUGUAGAGGUGAAAUUCGCAGAUAUUCGGAGGAACACCAGUGGCGAAGGCGACUGACUGGACAAUUACUGACGCUGAGGCACGAAAGCGUGGGGAUCAAACAGGAUUAGAUACCCCAGUAGUCC